AGGUACUCCGGGGAUAACAGGCUGAUACCGCCCAAGAGUUCAUAUCGACGGCGGUGUUUGGCACCUCGAUGUCGGCUCAUCACAUCCUGGGGCUGAAGUCGGUCCCAAGGGUAUGGCUGUUCGCCAUUUAAAGUGGUACGCGAGCUGGGUUCAGAACGUCGUGAGACAGUUCGGUCCCUAUCUGCCGUGGGCGUUGGAUGAUUGAAGGGAGUUGCUCCUAGUACGAGAGGACCGGAGUGAACGAACCUCUGGUGUUCGGGUUGUCACGCCAGUGGCCGGGUGUGUAAGCGCAGCGAUGCGUUGAGCUAACCGGUACUAAUGAACCGUGAGGCUUAACCUUACAACGCCGAAGAUGUUUUGGCGGA
RNAcentral lists this ribosomal RNA (365 nucleotides) under Klebsiella pneumoniae. RNAcentral describes it as "partial 23S ribosomal RNA". It matches the Rfam family "Bacterial large subunit ribosomal RNA", at positions 2461 to 2842 of the family's 2925-position model. The record is from RNAcentral. Lineage: Bacteria; Pseudomonadati; Pseudomonadota; Gammaproteobacteria; Enterobacterales; Enterobacteriaceae.